Molecule: ribosomal RNA, 466 nt
Filed under: uncultured bacterium
Lineage: Bacteria
Description: partial 16S ribosomal RNA
Rfam family: Bacterial small subunit ribosomal RNA
Source: RNAcentral
GACGAACGCUGGCGGCGUGCUUGACACAUGCAAGUCGAACGGAAAGGCCCUGCUUGCAGGGUACUCGAGUGGCGAACGGGUGAGUAACACGUGGGUGAUCUGCCCUGCACUUCGGGAUAAGCUUGGGAAACUGGGUCUAAUACCGGAUAGGAGCCAUCUUUAGUGUGGUGGUUGGAAAGUUUUUUCGGUGUAGGAUGAGCUCGCGGCCUAUCAGCUUGUUGGUGGGGUAAUGGCCUACCAAGGCGGCGACGGGUAGCCGGCCUGAGAGGGUGUACGGCCACAUUGGGACUGAGAUACGGCCCAGACUCCUACGGGAGGCAGCAGUGGGGAAUAUUGCACAAUGGGCGCAAGCCUGAUGCAGCGACGCCGCGUGGGGGAUGAAGGCCUUCGGGUUGUAAACUCCUGUCGCUAGGGACGAAGCUUUGUUGUGACGGUACCUAGAUAAGAAGCACCGGCUAACUACGUG